Molecule: long non-coding RNA, 1267 nt
Filed under: Marmota monax (woodchuck)
Lineage: Eukaryota; Metazoa; Chordata; Mammalia; Rodentia; Sciuridae
Source: RNAcentral
GAAGAAUCUUGGCUGUUGAAUGUUGUGCCUUAUUCAAGGUGAAGUCUGUGGAAUCCAGAAAGCUGAAGCUGCUGGGGCCAGGAAGAAAGGGGCCCCAGCCCUUCACAUAUCCACAUGGAUAGUAAAACGGCUCCACUCCCCCGGUCCUCAGGAAAGUGCAAACUGCAACACAAUACGAAAUCACUUCUGAACACCAGUAUGGCUGAAAGAAUAAAGCAGGUGAUUCCACGUUGGUGAGAGCAUGCAGCAGCCUGAAUGGCCGUGCGUCAUUGAUGGGACAAUUUGACACAAUCACCGCAUUAGUCAUCCAGGCUGUCAAGCACCUACAAGCACCACAGGCCGGUGGGAUAAACAAUAGACAUUUAUUUCCUCACCCUUUUGGAUGCUGGAAGCCCACGUCAAGGUGUCAGCAGGAUUGACUUCUUCUGACUCCCCUCUCCUUGGCUUUUAGAUGGCUGUCUCCUCAUGUGGUCCUCCCUGUGUCUGCGUCCACAUUUCCUCUUCUUAAAAAGACAUAUUGGAUGAGAGCCCACCCUAAUGACCCUACUAACUUUAAAGAUACUGUCUCCAAAUACAAUCCCACUCAGAGGUCCUAGGGCUGAGGACUUUAACACAUGGAUUUGGGGGGAAUACAAUUGAGUUUAUAACAACCACUUUGAAAAACUACUGGGAGGAUCUGCUAAAGCUGAAAAUACCCAUAUUUUAUAAGCCAUUAGUUUUUUUUUAGGCAUAUGCUCAACAAAAGUGCACACUUACGGGUGCCUGAAGACAUUGGAAAGUGUUCACAGCAGUCCUGCUUGAGAUAAUCCCAACCUGGAAACAACAGAAAUGUCAGUCCACAGCAGAAUGAAUAAACAGUGCUGUAUUCAUACAAUGGAAUACUCUGCAGCAAUGCAAAGGAGUCAGCUAUAUCCACACAAUGCAGAACACUGCUGAAGCUCACAAAUGGAAUUUUGAAUGAAAGAAGUUAGAUGCCAAAAAUGAAAUUAUGUAUAAUUCCAUUUAUUUAAGCUUGGAAAAUAGUCCAAGCCUGAUGCAUGCUCUUGGAAGCUGGCGCAGUGGUUACUUGGGUGGGGGGUGUGCCUCAAGACUGAAAGCAGGCUCCAGGGGGCCUCUGGAAGGCGGGUCAUGUUCUGUCCCUAAUAUAGAUGUUGGUUACUAGGUGUGUUUGCUGUUUGAAAAUUUAUUGGGUCUCAGAGUGUGGUUUGCAUAAUUUUCAGUUUUGCACUGUAGUUCAAUAAAAAGUUGAUAAAGGAGAGAAUCUUUG